AAUGAACGCUGGCGGCGUGCCUAACACAUGCAAGUCGAGCGAGACGGUUGUGAAGGAUCCUUCGGGUGACUGAUCAGCUAGACAGCGGCGGACGGGUGAGUAACGCGUGGGCAACCUGCCUUGUACUGGGGGAUAACGUUUUGAAAAGAACGCUAAUACCGCAUAAGCGCACAGUAUCGCAUGAUACAGUGUGAAAAACUCCGGUGGUACAAGAUGGGCCCGCGUCUGAUUAGCUAGUUGGUGAGAUAAAAGCUCACCAAGGCGACGAUCAGUAGCCGACCUGAGAGGGUGAUCGGCCACAUUGGGACUGAGACACGGCCCAAACUCCUACGGGGAGGCAGCAGUGGGGAAUAUUGCACAAUGGGGGAAACCCUGAUGCAGCGACGCCGCGUGAAGGAUGACGGAUUUCGGUCUGUAAACUUCUAUCAGCAGGGAAGAUAGUGACUGUACCUGACUAAGAAGCCCCGGCUAACUACGUG
RNAcentral lists this ribosomal RNA (479 nucleotides) under uncultured bacterium. Its description in RNAcentral is "bacterial SSU rRNA". It matches the Rfam family "Bacterial small subunit ribosomal RNA", at positions 29 to 507 of the family's 1533-position model. The record is from RNAcentral.